ACACGCUGGCGGCGUGCCUAACACAUGCAAGUCGAACGAGAAAGUGGAGCAAUCCAUGAGUAAAGUGGCGACCGGGUGAGUAACACGUGACUAACCUACCUCCGAGUGGGAAAUAACUCCGGGAAACCGGGGCUAAUACCGCAUAACAUCGCAAGAUCAAAGCAGCAAUGCGCUUGGAGAGGGGGUCGCGGCUGAUUAGCUAGUUGGCGGGGUAACGGCCCACCAAGGCGAAGAUCGGUAUCCGGCCUGAGAGGGCGCACGGACACACUGGAACUGAAACACGGUCCAGACUCCUACGGGAGGCAGCAGUGGGGAAUUUUGCGCAAUGGGGGAAACCCUGACGCAGCAACGCCGCGUGGAGGAUGAAGCCCUUUGGGGUGUAAACUCCUUUCGACUCGGACGAUAAUGACGGUACGAGUGGAAGAAGCACCGGCUAACUCUGUGCCAGCAGCCGCGGUAAUACAGAGGGUGCGAGCGUUGUUCGGAAUUAUUGGGCGUAAAGGGCGCGUAGGCGGUGCGGUAAGUCACCUGUGAAAUCUCCUGGCUUAACUGGGAGCCUGCAGGCGAAACUACCGUGCUGGAGUGUGGGA
RNAcentral lists this ribosomal RNA (590 nucleotides) under uncultured bacterium. Its description in RNAcentral is "bacterial SSU rRNA". It matches the Rfam family "Bacterial small subunit ribosomal RNA", at positions 31 to 653 of the family's 1533-position model. The record is from RNAcentral.